Molecule: ribosomal RNA, 439 nt
Filed under: uncultured bacterium
Lineage: Bacteria
Description: partial 16S ribosomal RNA
Rfam family: Bacterial small subunit ribosomal RNA
Source: RNAcentral
CUACGGGGGGCUGCAGUGAGGAAUAUUGCACAAUGGGGGGAACCCUGAUGCAGCAACGCCGCGUGGAGGAUGACGCAUUUCGGUGUGUAAACUCCUUUUAUAUGUCAAGAAAAUGACGGUAGCAUAUGAAUAAGCGCCGGCUAACUCCGUGCCAGCAGCCGCGGUAAUACGGAGGGCGCAAGCGUUACUCGGAAUCACUGGGCGUAAAGGACGCGUAGGCGGGUUGAAAAGUCAGGUGUGAAAGCCUACAGCUUAACUGUAGAACUGCACUUGAAACUCUCAAUCUAGAGUAUGGGAGGGGCAGAUGGAAUUAGUGGUGUAGGGAUAAAAUCCGUAGAUAUCACUAGGAAUACCUAAAGCGAAGGCGAUCUGCUGGAACAUUACUGACGCUAAGGCGUGAAAGCGUGGGGAGCAAACAGGAUUAGAUACCCUGGUAGUC